This is a long non-coding RNA of Rosa rugosa (rugosa rose), 2664 nucleotides long. RefSeq lists it as uncharacterized. Lineage: Eukaryota; Viridiplantae; Streptophyta; Magnoliopsida; Rosales; Rosaceae. The record is from RefSeq and is a predicted model, not a curated record. The transcript is spliced from 3 exons.
UGGGUCAGCUUCUUCGAGCCAUCUCCUCAAAGGCUCAGUCUCAACUCCUUAAACAACCUUUCCCCAAUUGAUUCAAUUUGAAAUCUCAAAUCACCAAACCCAGACGUCUUCAUCUUCCGUUUUUCCUUAGUUUCCUUUUCGUUUCAAUUUACAGAAAUCCAAUCGAAGAUUAACUCCAUUCCCAAAUUUCCUUCUAAGCCCUAAUUUCUCUGAAUCCCAGUUUCCUUUCAAUUUCGAACCACCCCGUCGUCGUUACUGGGCCGCCGUUCGGCUCUGAACUGUCCCCCAACGGCUUACCCCCUGCCCUCUCCCGCGAGAUUCUAGUGUACCAUAGGCUAGAAUUUGAGGUCGAUGACGGCCUCCAUCGAACCCUUGCCGUCCGAUUUGGUCAAGAAGCUUCUCUUCCAGCUCCUGAAGGGCGUCGACGACUGUCAUGAUAACAACAUCCUCACCGGAACCUUAACCUAAGAAUCUGCUGCUUGAUAAGAAACAACAGAGCCUCAAGAUCGGCGAUGGGAUCAGUCAGUCUUUCGCUUUCUUCUACAAGUCUUUUGUGCCGGAGGUUUUGCUUGGAUUCACAGAUUACUCAACUCCGAAGGACAUUUGGGCCAUCGGCUGCAUCUUCGAGUUUUUGAAGAGACACGCUAAUGGUUUACUGCCAAUUGAAGAGACACGCUAUAGGGUUUAGCUGCUGCAACUGUGCUGUUGAAGAGACACGCUAAUGGUUUACUGCCAAUUGAAAAUUUCAACAUAGUACUUGAAGAUCAGAGUGGGAAGAAAGUACAAAUGGAUUGGAGACUGAUCAGCGGGCAAUCAUGAUCGGCCUGAUGCUUCAUACUAAUGCAAAGCAACUAAUUAAAGCACAAAAUUACCAAGAUGCAUUGGAAGUGCUCAUCAUGGGGGAGGUUCGUUACUGGUGCCUUGCAACUGAUAGUUUCGUUCAUGUGAAACUUGCAUGUUAAGUGGCUUGUCCAUGCUUGUUACAGCAGCUUAUGUCUCCUAAUCUUCUGUGGGUUGUAUUUUCUUCCUUUUUUUCAUUCUUGUAGGAGCCUUUCUCUCUUGUAUUACUAUGCAGUACAUGUGGCUGUGUAACUUUGAAGGAUCUGCCACUAUACUCAACAGGGCAUGAUCUGCGUGUUUCUGUUUCUUGAUUAAUUUUACACUUUCUGCAGGUUUAAUCCCAACAUAGUAAGCAGCUUAGACUGAAGUUAUCAGUGCAGUUUGUUGUCUAUGCUUAAUUUAUUGAGAUUUUUUUUUAAUUUCUCAAAAAAUGCUGAUUUAUUUUUUUCACUGAUGACCUUUGUUAUUAUCCAAGAAAAUAAAUUGUCAGUUUAUUUUACUCCUGGAAUUCACUCCUUUUUUCAUACUCAUAGAGUUGGGAUGGAAGCUUGGGUUCCAUUUGUUUCUACAAGACAGUGAAUUAACAUAAGUUCAUUAACAUAAGUCUUGGCAGGUUUGCCUCCUUCUCUAUAUCUUCAUCCUAUUAUAUCUCUAUAAGUAUUUUGUGCGUAUAUUGUAACUCUUUUUAUCUUUAUCUUCCAGUUGUCUUCCUCAAAAAUGCUGAAAUUGGCUAUUUGCUUUCCUCUGAUUCUGAUAUGAUGGCUUAAAUUAUGUUAUAGAUGCAUUAUAAGUUACACCAUGCCAAUAUGCUCUUACUGUUUUUAUUCAAAAUUUAAAAGUUUGUUCCUCUCAGCUAAUUGAAAGUAGAAGUAGGAGAACUAGACGAGAACUAGGCUAAACUUUUGUAUUGCAAAGAAAAGUAGGAAGUCCAUUGUCCAACUAUGUCAUGGUAUAGGUACUUGUUUGAUAGAUUGUAGUUGAAUAGCCAUGCUUACGAUUCUAGCUGUGUUCAUGGUUUAUGAUGUGAGGUUUAGUUACCUGAGUUUUUGUAAUGGCCAAUGCUUGAUGAGUUUAGUACUUUAGUGCUUUUAUCAGAUUAAUUUGGUCCUGUUUGAGUGUGUCCAGUGCGUUAAUAAGUCUGACUUGUUGAGUGAAAUUUCAAAUAUUGAACUCUUUGGUUCUGGAAAAUGUAGAGGUUUUAGGAAUUAGGAACCAAAAAAUGAUUCCACCAGAAGAUGAUAAUUACUUGAGCUGUGAUUUUUGCUUGAGAGUUGUUCUGUUUCUAAAUGCUAUAUCUGCCUUUAUAAUUUAUGAUAUAUAACUGCAUGAAUCAUGAUCAUUUCACAAUCGCAGUUUAUGCAAAAGUCUUGCUGAUUUUGUAUGAUUUCCUUGCCAAAGUAUCUUCAUUUUUUCUUUCAUUGAUGGCUUGCAGAUCAUGUUGUUCAAGUAAAGGACGGUGCAUGUAGUUGAUGCUGUAUAAAGACAGGUGGGGAACUAGAUUUGAUUCCAUGGCUAAACAAAUCAAAAUUUAACGCACCAAUAAUCGCUUUAACUUUAUAGGUUUGACACCAUGGCUGCACAGACAAAGUUCCGGGAAUAGUGGGAAGACAAGAGUUUGUAUCAAUAUGUUGGCUGUAGAAACCAAGUUCCUGCACACACUAUAUGUGGCAUGUUUAAUUUGGAACAACGUAGUUGUAUCAGCUUUUGAUGUCCCAAGUAGAUGGCCAUGCAUUUGAAUACUUUUCUUCCAUUAAUGGUUGCUUGGAUGAUUGGGAAAUGCUCCCUUUUAACAUUUGAGAUAUAUGGAAUGGGUUUGAUUACUCA